RNAcentral lists this unclassified non-coding RNA (1435 nucleotides) under uncultured Neocallimastigales. RNAcentral describes it as "partial contains small subunit ribosomal RNA, internal transcribed spacer 1, 5.8S ribosomal RNA, internal transcribed spacer 2, and large subunit ribosomal RNA". The stretch from base 661 to 1435 matches the Rfam family "Eukaryotic large subunit ribosomal RNA", at positions 1 to 628 of the family's 3401-position model. Lineage: Eukaryota; Fungi; Neocallimastigomycota; Neocallimastigomycetes; Neocallimastigales. The record is from RNAcentral.
UUUCCGUAGGUGAACCUGCGGAAGGAUCAUUAAAAAAUUGGACUCCAUUGGUGAGUUCAUUAAUAAUCCCUACCCUUUGUGAAUUUGUUUGUUUGAAUAAUUUUUUUUCCAAAAAAAAUUAUUGAAUGUCUUUCCUUGUUUUGGUGGAGCUUGUAAAGUGAAACCAGGCAGGGGAAUGGCAAACAAUAAUUAUUUUUGAAAAAGACCUUUUUUUAAAAUUAAACUUUUUGUAUUCAUUUGUCUAAAAUUAAUUUUUAUAAUAUAAAAACAACUUUUGACAAUGGAUCUCUUGGUUCUCGCAACGAUGAAGAACGCAGCAAAAUGCGAUAAGUAGUGUGAAUUGCAGAAUACGUGAAUCAUCGAAUCUUCGAACGCAUAUUGCACUUUUUUAGUUUACUAAAAAAGUAUGUCUGUUUGAGUAUCAGUAAAAUAUUCUCAUAAAAAACAUUGUUUUUUUUAUGGUUAUGAGUGUUUUACAACGAUAACAAGUUGUUUCACUUUAAAUUCUUUGUUAUCAAAAAAUCAUUAAAGCUAAUUUUAAAGAUUUUUUAAAAUUGGAUAAAAUUUUCCCGUAAAAAGGAAUAACCUAAACAAUUUUAAAAAAUUAAAAUUGGUUUGAUUUUUUUUGAAACCCAAAGGAAAAAAAAAACGAAAUUAACUUGAUCUCAAAUCAGAUAAGAGUACCCGCUGAACUUAAGCAUAUCAAUAAGCGGAGGAAAAGAAACUAACUAGGAUUCCCUCAGUAACGGCGAGUGAAGCGGGAAGAGCUCAAAUUUGAAAUCUUCAAGGUUUUACCUUGACGAAUUGUAGUUUAAAGAAGUGUUUUCUGUUGGAGUUUUGGUAAAAGUUCUUUGGAAAAGGACAUCAUAGAGGGUGAGAAUCCCGUAUUUGACCAUUAUCUCCAGCUUUGUGAUACACUUUCAAAGAGUCGGAUUGUUUGGGAAUGCAGUCCAAAAUGGGUGGUAAAUUUCAUCUAAAGCUAAAUACUGGCGAGAGACCGAUAGCGAACAAGUACCGUGAGGGAAAGAUGAAAAGAACUUUGAAAAGAGAGUUAAACAGUACGUGAAAUUGUCAAAAGGGAAGCGUUUGACACCAGUGUUGUUUCUCGAAAAUCAAUUAAAAAAGGCCGGAUUUUGUGUUGUAUUGACUUUAUCAGCUUUCUGCACUCUUUUCUUGUCUUUUUUAAUGCACUUUUCGUUUAACAAGUCAACAUCAAUUUCUUUUGUUGUAAAAGGUCAUUGGAAGGUGGCUUUCUUUUCGGAGAAAGUGUUUAUAGCCUUUGGCCUCUGCAAUCGGAGAGAUUGAGGUCUGCAGCGUAGAUCCUUCGGGUUAGAUACAUUUGUGCUAAGUUAUAGCCUUUCAUAGACAACUUGUUGACUAUGAUCAGUCAUGUAGCUUACUCGCUUAUGCUAUUUUACCUACGCUUAGGAUGUUG